GUCGACGGUCAUGCUACCCUGAAUGUGCCCAAUCUCGUCUGAUCUUGGAAGCUAAGCAGGGUCGGGCCUGGUUAGUACUUGGAUGGGAGACCACCUUGGAAUACCAGGUGCUGUAGACA
This 119-nucleotide ribosomal RNA is filed under the name Pteropus alecto (black flying fox). The record is from RNAcentral. Lineage: Eukaryota; Metazoa; Chordata; Mammalia; Chiroptera; Pteropodidae.